Molecule: ribosomal RNA, 431 nt
Filed under: uncultured bacterium
Lineage: Bacteria
Description: partial 16S ribosomal RNA
Rfam family: Bacterial small subunit ribosomal RNA
Source: RNAcentral
AACGAACGCUGGCGGCAGGCUUAACACAUGCAAGUCGAACGCCCCGCAAGGGGAGUGGCAGACGGGUGAGUAACGCGUGGGAACAUACCCUUUCCUGCGGAAUAGCUCCGGGAAACUGGAAUUAAUACCGCAUACGCCCUACGGGGGAAAGAUUUAUCGGGGAAGGAUUGGCCCGCGUUGGAUUAGCUAGUUGGUGGGGUAAAGGCCUACCAAGGCGACGAUCCAUAGCUGGUCUGAGAGGAUGAUCAGCCACAUUGGGACUGAGACACGGCCCAAACUCCUACGGGAGGCAGCAGUGGGGAAUAUUGGACAAUGGGCGCAAGCCUGAUCCAGCCAUGCCGCAUGAGUGAUGAAGGCCUUAGGGUUGUAAAGCUCUUUCACCGAUGAAGAUAAUGACGGUAGUCGGAGAAGAAGCCCCGGCUAACUUCGUG